Molecule: long non-coding RNA, 118 nt
Organism: Melitaea cinxia (Glanville fritillary)
Lineage: Eukaryota; Metazoa; Arthropoda; Insecta; Lepidoptera; Nymphalidae
Exons: 3
Source: RefSeq, a predicted model, not a curated record
AAACCUACAACUAGGAAAAUUUGUUUCAGUAAAUAAAUAGGGUGUACAUAAACAUAUAAAGUUAGUGUUAAAUUAAAUAGUAUUAAUUACAUAUUACAAAACGUGUGCAAAAUAAUUA